GACGGGGGCCCGCACAAGCAGUGGAGUAUGUGGUUUAAUUCGAAGCAACGCGAAAAACCUUACCAGGUCUUGACAUCCAACUAACGAAGCAGAGAUGCAUCAGGUGCCCUUCGGGGAAAGUUGAGACAGGUGGUGCAUGGUUGUCGUCAGCUCGUGUCGUGAGAUGUUGGGUUAAGUCCCGCAACGAGCGCAACCCUUGUCAUUAGUUGCUACGCAAGAGCACUCUAAUGAGACUGCCGUUGACAAAACGGAGGAAGGUGGGGACGACGUCAAAUCAUCAUGCCCCUUAUGACCUGGGCUACACACGUACUACAAUGGCCGUUAACAGAGGGAUGCAAUACCGCGAGGUGGAGCUAAACCCCAAAAACGGUCCCAGUUCAGAUUGCAGGCUGCAACCCGCCUGCAUGAAGUCGGAAUUGCUAGUAAUCGCGAAUCAGCAUGUCGCGGUGAAUACGUUCCCGGGCCUUGUACACACCGCCCGUCACACCAUGGGAGCCGGUAAUACCCGAAGUCAGUAAUCUAACCGCAAGGAGGAUGCUGCCGAAGGUAGGAUUGGCGACUGGGGUGAAGUCGUAACAAGGUAGCCGUUCGGAA
This 594-nucleotide ribosomal RNA is filed under the name uncultured bacterium. Its description in RNAcentral is "bacterial SSU rRNA". It matches the Rfam family "Bacterial small subunit ribosomal RNA", at positions 912 to 1509 of the family's 1533-position model. The record is from RNAcentral.